RNAcentral lists this ribosomal RNA (458 nucleotides) under Phoma herbarum. Its description in RNAcentral is "eukaryotic LSU rRNA". The stretch from base 123 to 276 matches the Rfam family "5.8S ribosomal RNA". Lineage: Eukaryota; Fungi; Ascomycota; Dothideomycetes; Pleosporales; Didymellaceae. The record is from RNAcentral.
UUGGNAACAACCUCUUACCCAUGUCUUUUGAGUACUUACGUUUCCUCGGGGGGUUUCGCCCGCCNUUUGGACAAUUUAAACCAUUUGCAGUUGCAUCAGCGUCUGAAAAACAUAAUAGUUACAACUUUCAACAACGGAUCUCUUGGUUCUGGCAUCGAUGAAGAACGCAGCGAAAUGCGAUAAGUAGUGUGAAUUGCAGAAUUCAGUGAAUCAUCGAAUCUUUGAACGCACAUUGCGCCCCUUGGUAUUCCAUGGGGCAUGCCUGUUCGAGCGUCAUUUGUACCUUCAAGCUUUGCUUGGUGUUGGGUGUUUGUCUCGCCUUUGCGUGUAGACUCGCCUUAAAAGAAUGGAGCCGGCGUAUUGAUUUCGGAGCGCAGUACCUUUCGCGCUUUGCACUCAUAACGACGACGUCCAAAAAGUACAUUUUUAACACUCUUGACCUCGGAUCAGGUAGGGAU